RNAcentral lists this ribosomal RNA (253 nucleotides) under uncultured bacterium. Its description in RNAcentral is "partial 16S ribosomal RNA". It matches the Rfam family "Bacterial small subunit ribosomal RNA", at positions 524 to 776 of the family's 1533-position model. The record is from RNAcentral.
UACGUAGGGUCCGAGCGUUGUCCGGAGUUACUGGGCGUAAAGCGCGCGCAGGCGGCUGUGCUGGCCCGGCGUGAAAGCCCCCGGCUCAACCGGGGAGAGUCGUCGGGGACCGCACCGCUUGAGGGCGGUAGGGGCUGGUGGAAUGCCUGGUGUAGUGGUGAAAUGCGUAGAGAUCAGGCAGAACACCUGGGGCGAAGGCGGCCAGCUGGGCCGUCCCUGACGCUGAGGCGCGAAGGCGUGGGGAGCGAACGGG